CAAAGAGCACGCGCAUUUUUUGCGGUCCGGAGCUGUAGGAGAAACACAAAUUAACUCAGAGACACAGACUGAUGCGACAAAACCAGUAAACAUGGCUGGUAAGGACAUGAGGAGGAAACAGUAGGAGCCGUGUGAGGCUACUAAAGGCAGUGGAUCCCUCAGCAGCUGGAUUACAAAGAGCACAGUCUCAGAUCAGCACAGCCCUGCCCUCCAGCACUACCAGCAGCAGGAGCAGCAGCAACCCCUCAACAGCAACAUUGUACCCAUCAGCUUUGAGCACCCGCCCCUAUAAACGUCUCUGCACGGCCCUGCCUGGAAGCAUUAUGAGGGAGCUUAUGUGUUGGAUGUUACCAAAAGAAGGCGUCUAGCCUGGAUAGCAGCUGCGAGACGAGCUGAUAUUCAGUUCUCUACCAUCCACAGAUAUCUGUUGGUGUGCUCCAGUAUUUUCAUUCAGCAAACCAGCCUAUGAAAUGAAUGAAACAAAUCCUGACUGGGUUCCAACACUACACAUGGGGCACUACGAAA
This is a long non-coding RNA of Oreochromis aureus, 525 nucleotides long. The record is from Ensembl. Lineage: Eukaryota; Metazoa; Chordata; Actinopteri; Cichliformes; Cichlidae.